Molecule: ribosomal RNA, 387 nt
Filed under: uncultured bacterium
Lineage: Bacteria
Description: bacterial SSU rRNA
Rfam family: Bacterial small subunit ribosomal RNA
Source: RNAcentral
ACUCCUACGGGAGGCAGCAGUGGGGAAUAUUGCACAAUGGGCGCAAGCCUGAUGCAGCCAUGCCGCGUGUGUGAAGAAGGCCUUCGGGUUGUAAAGCACUUUCAGUCGUGAGGAAGGUAGUGUAGUUAAUAGCUGCAUUAUUUGACGUUAGCGAANAGANAAGCGACGCUAACUCCGUGCCAGCAGCCGCGGUAAUACGGAGGGUGCGAGCGUUAAUCGGAAUUACUGGGCGUAAAGCGCAUGCAGGUGGUUUGUUAAGUCAGAUGUGAAAGCCCGGGGCUCAACCUCGGAAUUGCAUUUGAAACUGGCAGACUAGAGUACUGUAGAGGGGGGUGAGAAUUAUCAGGUGUAGCGGUGAAAUGCGUAGAGAUCUGAAGGAAUACCAGU